AUCUCAUCAUCGCCUCCAUAUUCAUACGCGUCUUUUGCUUCCUCCCUUCGUCAACGCUUUUCUCAGAUCUUGCUGCUAUGGCGACGAUUCUGAUUCUUUUCGCUUCUAAUUAUCGUAGAGAUCCUCCCGAUCUUCACAACCGUGUCGUGUUUUGAUCGAGAUCUGAUGGUUGAUUCCAUGAUUUGGCGACGGAUCUGACGCAGAUCUAGCUUUUCCUCUCGAUCUGGCUUUGGAUCUUCAUUUGCGGCUUCGUAAGACGAUAGAUCUGUAAAUUGGUCACGUUGAGGCGCAUAGAUCUGGGAUACAAGGAGAUGAAUCUGAAGCAGACGCUAGGGCUUACUCUUUCGUGUUUGGAUUGAAGUGAGUUAGGGUGUAUAAGAUGUUUUGUUGGAUAGCUAUGGCGUCCCGAUCGCAUCUUUGUCAUCCGACCUUUGCCAUGUCAGGUGCGCUUGCAUGGCAGGUCAAAACUGUGCUUAAUAAAAGUUAUUUUGUGGGUUUUGGAGAGGAGAUCGCACGGGUUGUUUAUUUUUUUUCCCGGGAUCUCCUCUCCUCUGUGUGUCUUGCCUCGCUCCCUCUCUCUCUCUCUUCCCUCUUUUACAUCUCUAAUUCGCUAUUGGUCAUAUACUCAAAAAAAAAUCGAUCAGAAACAGAGACUGCGACUUAACUGGAGCCGUGGCUAUAUCAAUCCUACUAGCACAAGAGAGUCAAAUCAGGUACUUAUAUUCAUAUUAAUUAUGAUCCUAAGUUAUUAUUCAAGCCAAAUCAGGUACCCAUAUGCAUAUUAACUUGGAUCGUUAAUUACCAUACAAGUAAAUAAGCAUUUGAAAGGAAAUAUCAACAUGAUUUGACUUUACAACAUGUUAUGCACUUCUUUACAACAUGAUAGUCCGGGGCAACGUUUGAUCAUAUUUAAUCGUUUCAUCAAACAUUACAUUGUUUAAAUGAUAUUUUAGUUACUUGUAUAAUGUAAUUAAGUUUUUGUAUUAAGGUUUUUCAAUAAUCUGUCGUCAGUUUUAGAAUUUGUAUUUAGCUAAGUUUGUUAUAUCUGUCUGUAACGAUAUCCUUUCUGUUGAAGUAUGAAGCUCGUUGACAGGAAAAUUGAAGUUUUGGCCAACAUAUAGAUUUCACAAUCCAGCCAUUCUCGUAUAUUAUUUUGUGUUAAAGGUAUAAAUUUUUGGUAAUAGACUUAAAUAGAGUAAAAUGUGUACAUUAAUUUUUGAGGAAUAAAAUAUAUUGUUUAUUUAGUUUUU
Long non-coding RNA from Capsella rubella, 1250 nucleotides. RefSeq lists it as uncharacterized. The record is from RefSeq and is a predicted model, not a curated record. The transcript has 2 exons. NCBI's taxonomy places the organism in Eukaryota, Viridiplantae, Streptophyta, Magnoliopsida, Brassicales, Brassicaceae.